This is a long non-coding RNA of Canis lupus familiaris (dog), 380 nucleotides long. RefSeq lists it as uncharacterized. The transcript is spliced from 3 exons. Lineage: Eukaryota; Metazoa; Chordata; Mammalia; Carnivora; Canidae. The record is from RefSeq and is a predicted model, not a curated record.
UCUUGGUCCCCAGCUCCUGAGACAGGAGCUACUAAGACCCGUGGUAUCCUCGCACCAGUUUCUCGUCUUCCAACAACACACCCAGCAUCGCUCUGCUAUCCUGAUGUGAAAGGCCUUCUGUGCACAGCCUUGAAUACUGGGACAGCUUAGUUAUCACAGCACUAUGGACCUGCCACAGAGGAUGUUAUGAGAGUUUUUUAAUAUGCUCUUCAAGGAGCCAGGAGCAGGGGAUAUUCCAAGGAAGGUGCACAUUAUCAGAAGAAUCUUUGUGUUAUCCUGAGUUUUGUGAGCCUAUACCAUGUCACUUUGUCAGACAAUAUUGUAUUUAAAUUUUAAAACUCUUGCUGCUAUAAAGGGAUGUCACCGAAGCUGUGAUGUUU